This 496-nucleotide ribosomal RNA is filed under the name uncultured bacterium. Its description in RNAcentral is "partial 16S ribosomal RNA". It matches the Rfam family "Bacterial small subunit ribosomal RNA", at positions 29 to 507 of the family's 1533-position model. The record is from RNAcentral.
AUGAACGCUGGCGGCGUGCCUAAUACAUGCAAGUCGAGCGAACGGACGAGAAGCUUGCUUCUAUGAUGUUAGCGGCGGACGGGUGAGUAACACGUGGAUAACCUACCUAUAAGACUGGGAUAACUUCGGGAAACCGGAGCUAAUACCGGAUGAUAUUUUGAACCGCAUGGUUCAAAAGUGAAAGACGGUCUUGCUGUCACUUAUAGAUGGAUCCGCGCUGCAUUAGCUAGUUGGUAAGGUAACGGCUUACCAAGGCAACGAUGCAUAGCCGACCUGAGAGGGUGAUCGGCCACACUGGAACUGAGACACGGUCCAGACUCCUACGGGAGGCAGCAGUAGGGAAUCUUCCGCAAUGGGCGAAAGCCUGACGGAGCAACGCCGCGUGAGGGAUGAAGGUCUUCGGAUCGUAAAACUCUGUUAUUAGGGAAGAACAUAUGUGUAAGUAACUGUGCACAUCUUGACGGUACCUAAUCAGAAAGCCACGGCUAACUACGUG